GGGUUGGUGGUGUAGUGGUAACGCAUGCCCGCGGCACACGUCGCUCCGCCGGCAAGUCCCAGGUUCAAGUCCUGGCCGACCUA
Phyllosticta citrichinensis is the source of this 83-nucleotide non-coding RNA. NCBI's taxonomy places the organism in Eukaryota, Fungi, Ascomycota, Dothideomycetes, Botryosphaeriales, Phyllostictaceae. The record is from the annotation of a GenBank genome assembly.